Molecule: ribosomal RNA, 255 nt
Filed under: uncultured bacterium
Lineage: Bacteria
Description: partial 16S ribosomal RNA
Rfam family: Bacterial small subunit ribosomal RNA
Source: RNAcentral
UACGGAGGGGCGAGCGUUAUUCGGAAUUAUUGGGCGUAAAGGGCGCGUAGGCGGCCUUGUAAGUCAAAGGUGAAAUCCCUCGGCUCAACUGAGGAACUGCCUUUGAAACUGCAAGGCUUGAGGCCGGGAGGGGUAGCGGAAUUCCCAAUGUAGCGGUGAAAUGGCGUAGAUAUUGGGAGGAACACCAGUGGCGAAAGGCGGCUACCUGGACCGGUUCUGGACGCUGAGGCGCGAAAGCGUGGGUACGCAACGAGG